RNAcentral lists this long non-coding RNA (218 nucleotides) under Ananas comosus (pineapple). RNAcentral's name for it is "long non-coding RNA (ACOM_LNC017726)". Lineage: Eukaryota; Viridiplantae; Streptophyta; Magnoliopsida; Poales; Bromeliaceae. The record is from RNAcentral.
UUGUUGAUAAAGCACUAUCUUUUGAAGAAAAUUCUAGCGAGUCUUCAAGCAACAGAUGAAGAAGAAUCUUGAAAGCAUGAUGGAAGCUUAUAUGAAGAAGAGUAUUCUGCAGUUUGCACAUCAUGUUGUCAGUGUUUUACUUUAUGGCUUUUGUGAAGCAUGUAUGUUUUGUUUGUAGUGUUGUAUGGAUUAUUUGAAGCAUGUAUGCUUUGUUUCAA